Trichomycterus rosablanca is the source of this 1608-nucleotide long non-coding RNA. RefSeq lists it as uncharacterized. The transcript is spliced from 2 exons. Lineage: Eukaryota; Metazoa; Chordata; Actinopteri; Siluriformes; Trichomycteridae. The record is from RefSeq and is a predicted model, not a curated record.
UCCAGCUCUGAUCUGAGACUCUCUGACCUCUGAAGGAAACUCGGUGAAUCGAGAAGCUUUCCAGAACAUCAGCAUGGUGAUGCUGUGUGAGGAGGAGGAUGAUGAGGAUGAAGAUGAUUCUGAGCAGAGACGAGGGGGAAGCUUGGAGGUCUGCUGCCAAGGGUAGACCACAGGAGCGGAACCAAUAGAGCUACGCGUCAACCUCGACGCGACAAGCGAGCUCUAUGGCGAUACUUCCUGGAAUACGUUCCUCCAAGUGGUUUACACGUGAUGACCUCUGUGCUGUGAUGUUACACACAUGAUGAAACAAUGACUCGAUGUUUUGAUGAAAACUCUUUCUGUGGUGAAUGAAUGAGUGAAUUCUUGUGAUGCUGAUGUGAUUUUUUCUGAAGCAGCUGUUCAGACAGACCCGCCCGAUUUACUGCAGCAUUCGUGAGCUUUCAAACGCGCCAACUGUUGAUUUACUGAAAAUUUACUGAAAAUUUACUGAAUGUUUACUGACGUCUUACAGAAAAACGCGACACUGAAACGCUUCACGCUGAACGUACGUGAACACGGUGGGCUAGAAAUGAUGCAGUACUGUAGAUGGAAAAUCUCCAGUGUUCUUUUCUCUAUGGUAUAUUAAUGAUAAUAUAUAAAGUUUAGGUUUUACUAUUGGUUUUCCAUUACUUGGUUUUGUGGCCGGGGGAUCCACCUAGACUGGAGCGGAUUGGUCGAAAGGAUUCAUAUUAAUGCAAAUACGUUCAACAAUCCAGACGUAAAGAUUUUUUUAUUUAUGGACAAUUUAAUUGGCGAGAAUUUUAACCUAGAUAUUCCGACAUGUGUUACGUGUUACGCUUGACGCUACUGAUCGUCACGUUGUAAAACAACACUUCCGAAAUGUAAAUAACGUCUGCAUUUUUCGAUCUGAUUACAAAGCAGGAUAAAUAAUUCCAAGAUUUGAACAAACAAAGGUUCAUAAUUUAUCUGGAUUGUGAUUUAAACAACAUGCACCUCAAAUUCACUUUAAAAUGCAUAUGUACUGUAUGUAUAUGUUAUGAUUUGGCUCUUCCUGAGACCGCCCUCGCGUCUGCGUCCGCACACCUGACGGGCCGGUAGCACUGCCGAGAUUCGAACCCCGUGUCGCCGAAGUAGUGCGCUAGCGUGAUCUCCCACUGCGCCGUCCGAGCUCUCAUUCAAAACUAUGGAAUAUGUAUGAUAAAGAAUUGUAGCGCUCGGGGGGGGAGUAACGAUGUAUCACGCUAGCUCAGCACUCCGAGAUCUAGGUUCGGGUCUCAGUGGUGAUGUCGAUCAGCCGGGUGUCUGCACAGGCGUGAUCGGUUGUGUCCGGGUGGUGCAAUUUUUGACAUACUCGGUUCCUUGUCUGAAAUGAGCGUGUCUAACGUAUCUGCAUUCAUGUGAACGUUGUACAGGUAGAAUGUUGGAAUGUGGAAUAUGAAGGCCAGUCUGGGUGGGGCCACAGGGAAACACCCCACUCUCUUUCUUUUGUCUGUCCUGUCCAUCUGAUCUGUUCAUUUAAUUUUACAUUUUACAGAAGGAAGGAUGUUUGGGUGAAAAAUGUAAAGAAACAAAAUGAAUGAAUUAAUUAAUAAACAUUAUUUUCUUAAA